Molecule: long non-coding RNA, 23926 nt
Filed under: Nicotiana benthamiana
Lineage: Eukaryota; Viridiplantae; Streptophyta; Magnoliopsida; Solanales; Solanaceae
Description: long non-coding RNA (NBEN_LNC008577)
Source: RNAcentral
UUGGGACUGUUUAAGCGUACUUUAGCCAUGCGCUUGUUACGGUAGUGGUAGUUCAGAAGUAUUGCACUAGCUGAGGAGGCUGUACAUGACGUACUUGUUUUUGGUGAAACAGUCCAUCUGCUCAUAGUGAUCUACUGAUUGUAUUUUUAUCUUCUGAGUAUUAUUGUUACCAAAAUUAUAUAAAUAUGGGAUGAAUUAGUUGUUGCCCUUUUGCUGCAACCUAGUAAAAGAUAAAUCUUUCACUUAAUUCUCACAUUUUACUUUUCGGCAUUAACUGGUUAUGUGGCACUGAUGUCACCUUUUUCUUAAAACUUCUGAUUUGUUAUUUAGGGUCGCUUGGAAGCAGCCUCUCUGCCCUUUUGGGUAGGGGUAAGGCUGUCUACAUAUUACCNNNNNNNNNNNNNNNNNNNNNNNNNNNNNNNNNNNNNNNNNNNNNNNNNNNNNNNNNNNNNNNNNNNNNNNNNNNNNNNGGUUGUCUACAUAUUACCUUCCCCAGACCCCACCUGGUGGGAGUAUACUGGGUAGUUGUUGUUGUUGUUGUUCUGAUUUGUUAUUUAGAUUUCCUUCCCGUUACAUGAUCAAGUGUUUUUUUCUCUUUGUUCAUAUUAGUUUCAUCUGUUACUUUUUGUAGGCUCAUGGUAUUCGUCAUUUGGUUCUGCCAACAAGAGAUUAUUUAUUCGCCCCGUCACUGCAUAAUAUAUGUCAAGCAGUAGAGUUCAUCCAUGGUGAGUACAAUCUCACCCCUUUGGCUCCCCAUUUUGGUUAUUUGUGAUUUUGCACUAUUGUCAAAGAUCUUGACCUUAAUUUCUUGGAUGCUUUUUACAUUUUAUCAUGACAUCGCAGUCACUUAACAGCUUGAGAUUCAUCUAAUUGUCUCAGAAACUGGAACUACGAGCACAGCCCCCAUCAUAUCUCAAGUGACGUUGACACACUUCAAUGUCUGAGGGUCAAAGUGUCCAAUUCUCACGUUGAUAUCGAUUCUUUGAGAAUAGUUUUUUUAUGAUUGAAACCAGCCAAAAGUACUUUAAACUGCAUUUUUAUUAAAUUAAAAUAUUUUACAAUUAUCAAAAGAAAAUUAUGGUUUAGGAAAAGUCAACAAAACUGUGGUCCAAGCAAAAUUUAUUCGAUUCGUUGCAUUUUUUUACCUUAUAAAAAAGAUCAAAAUUUGUAUGAUUCACAAACAUUUGUUAAGUUGCUGCUCUUCUAUUUGGAUAUAGUACUUUUUGAGGUAUCUUUCAAUUUAUGUAUUGACUUGUGAUUUUUUAUAUGCAAAAAAGUACAAUAAAAUAGGCCGCAAUUAUGUUUAAAAGCAAAAAAAUUGUAACGUAAAUCAUAGAUGUUUAGCUCCUUUAGCCUUUUGGCGUAAAACUGAAAGCUCACAUGACGUAGAUAGAAUGAUUAAUUUCCUUAGUUCUUUUCAUAUGUAGCUAUUGUGCUGGGAGUGCAAAUGGUUGUACUACUCCUUAUUGCACUCUCUGGGUGCUAUUUUAAUAAAAUUUUCAUUACAAGAGGGGUUGCUCUGACAAGAGGGGUUGCUAUCAUGGUAAGCAACCCCCACUUCCAACCGAGAGGUUGUGAGUUCGAGUCUCCCCAAGAGCAAGGUGGGAAGUUCUUGGAGGGAAGGAUGCCGGGGNNNNNNNNNNNNNNNNNNNNNNNNNNNNNNNNNNNNNNNNNNNNNNNNNNNNNNNNNNNNNNNAAGAGCAAGGUGGAAAGUUCUUGAGGGAAGUAUGUCGGGGACCUAUUUGGAAACAGCCUCUCUACCCAAGGGUAGGGGUAAGGUCUGCGUACACAACCCUCCCCAGACCCCACUAAGUGGGAUUAUACUGGGUUGUUGUUGUUGUUGUUUCAUUACAAUUUUAAAAAAUUAAAUAAGCCACUAUAAGAUGCUUAGCUUUUACCCAUGUGUAUGUUUUCUGUUAUACGUGCAUUGCAAGGCUCUUACAAAUAUACUCUCAUGUGUAUAUUUUCUUGUCUUUGAAGAAAAUGCUUCCAACGGACAAAGUACGUACGUGCAUUGCAAGGCUGGUCGAGGACGUAGCACAACAAUUGUCUUAUGCUACUUGGUGGGUAAACUAAGACUUGAUUGAAUCGAUUGUUUAAAGAUCACUUUACGUAUUUUCUCCUAAAAUUUAUUUUGUAUUGUAGGUUAAGUACAAGCAGAUGACACCAAAUGAUGCAUAUAACUAUGUGAAGUCGAUUCGUCCGAGGGUGCUUUUGGCCUCUUCCCAGCGACAGGUGUCUCAGAGAUUUGCCUCAUCUUUUACUCUUUUUGGCGCUUAUCUUUGGAUGCAUGAUUGUUUUGCCUUGUGAGAUUGAUGAAAAGAUAUACUCCUCUUGCCUUGGUUAUUCUGGUUAUUGUUGCUGAUCCUUUUUGCCCAUUAAUCAGGCUGUCGAGGAAUUCUACCUUCUCAUGGUGAAAGGGACAUACAGUUGUAGCCCCUUGACUAGUCUGAACUCAAGGAACUCAAGGUUCUUGGCUGGACGGAAUUUGUUAGCCUUCGAUGAUGGUGCUGUAGUUGUGAUAACCGAAGCAGAUCUAGAUGGAUAUGAUCAUAGCCGUGACUCUAGGGUGGAUGGAUCUGAGAUCUGGGCUGAUUUGAAUUUGAUUUACAGGGUUCGAGUUGCCGGUGGAGCAGCCUUAGCAAGACUCUCCUGUAUGUGGUUUCAUUGUCACACGGACCAGAACAUUCCGCGUCAGAAGCUGACCGCAGAGAGCAAGCAGCCGGUGGGGCAGCCUUAGCAAGGCUCUCCUGUAUGUGGUUUCAUUGUCACACGGACCAGAACAUUCCGCGUCAGAAGCUGACCGCAGAGAGCAAGCAGCUGGGAAGUUUUACUGUAGAUAUACAUGUGUUUUCUUAAGUUUAAAUUUGUACAUAUUUUUCCAGUAUAAAAAUGUUACAAGGAGCCUACUGUUAAGCUUUCUUUACCAAUGGAAACCUUGACUUUCUCAAUGUAAAUACAAUAUAGUACUUCUCAAGUUGAUAAUGAGAAGUCUGAGUAUAUAUAUGUAUAUAUAGCUGUAUCCAGAACCUGAACUUUCAAUGAAGGACUUGAGUGCUUCCUUUUGGUGGUGGUGCCAUCAACCAAAUAUGGGGCAACAUACUGUUGCAUUUCUUGAAUGGCCAUUCCAAGAUGAUAUCCUUGUAACCAUUUAAAAAAGAAGAAGAAAAUGAUAUCCUUGUAACUUUAUGAAUUGCACAUUUCCAGCUAUAUCCAAGGUUUGCAAUCCAAACAAAUUCUCCAGAUAAAAAUUAGUAUACCAGAAUGAGUAAAACAGGAGAUUUUCUUUUUGGGUAAGGAAGAACCCACAGCCACUACAGCUGCUUGCACAUCCUCUGCCUUUCGGGUGAGUACGUUAUGUGCACUGGGUAAACCCCCAUGUGUAAUAGACUGCAAACUACACAAGUAGGCAAGCUCUGUGCGAUAGGUUCAACCCAGAAGGCAUUGAAGAAAGGAUCGAUCCCAAAGUCAUCCGAAUUGAUGACCACCCUCUAAACCAACUGGGCAUCACCGAGGGGCGGAGAAAUUUUUUGACAUUUUGCAGUACAAAUAGGAAAAUGCAAACACCAUUCCUUUCUUGCUUUCUCCAAAGAACUUGCCCUUUUUCUGGUAAUCUCUAUAUGUUGUAAAGAUAUCUACACUGUCAAUGUACCAUGUUUAGACUUAUUAGCUUGUUGCAGUGAGUUAUAAAUUCUCGAAACAAUCCUUAAAAUAAUAUCCUCUUACUGCACUCCCCUCUUUUUCAUCACUGACAAGUGUAAUGCAUCUGACACAACUGGGAUCUGAAACUACUCCAAUAAUCAAUUGAUAAUGACUAUACUAGGUACUCCAUUGAAAUAAAACAGUAGUUCAAUUUUGGAAAAUUUAACAUCCCUUCUUUGUCUUUCCUUUCUCCAAAAAACUUGCCGUUUUUAACAGGGAGAUUUUGAAAUUUUUUUUUGGUAAUUAAAGUUUUUUCAUUAAUCACCAAUGAAAUUGCAUUACAUAACCACAGUCAAGCUUCAACUCGGCCGACUGUCUGAAAGCUAACAUAAUAACUACAGUUACUGUCCUAACUGUCUAACAUAUACUAUAUUCUAAGGAGUUGCAAUUGUUGCCUAAUUCUAGGGGUGCCUCUAACAUUACAGUUGUAUACUAUGUCUCUCAGUAGAGCAGUAUUCCAUCNNNNNNNNNNNNNNNNNNNNNNNNNNNNNNNNNNNNNNNNNNNNNNNNNNNNNNNNNNNNNNNNNNNNNNNNNNNNNNNNNNNNNNNNNNNNNNNNNNNNNNNNNNNNNNNNNNNNNNNNNNNNNNNNNNNNNNNNNNNNNNNNNNNNNNNNNNNNNNNNNNNNNNNNNNNNNNNNNNNNNNNNNNNNNNNNNNNNNNNNNNNNNNNNNNNNNNNNNNNNNNNNNNNNNNNNNNNNNNNNNNNNNNNNNNNNNNNNNNNNNNNNNNNNNNNNNNNNNNNNNNNNNNNNNNNNNNNNNNNNNNNNNNNNNNNNNNNNNNNNNNNNNNNNNNNNNNNNNNNNNNNNNNNNNNNNCAACUGUUUAGUAGUGCAUUUCUGAUGUUUCCAGUUCUGGAUCCUUUGUAGAGUGUCUCUGGAUUGGAUGAUCUUCUUAACCAUCCAGCUGGCUUGGGUAGGGAUUGGCAUGGAUUCUAUUGGCCUAUAUUUGAUAUAAUACACUGUGAUCCACCUUAUCCACAUCUUAUCCUUCUUAUGUGCUAUGUCCCANNNNNNNNNNNNNNNNNNNNNNNNNNNNNNNNNNNNNNNNNNNNNNNNNNNNNNNNNNNNNNNNNNNNNNNNNNNNNNNNNNNNNNNNNNNNNNNNNNNNNNNNNNNNNNNNNNNNNNNNNNNNNNNNNNNNNNNNNNNNNNNNNNNNNNNNNNNNNNNNNNNNNNNNNNNNNNNNNNNNNNNNNNNNNNNNNNNNNNNNNNNNNNNNNNNNNNNNNCUCCUGCAAAUGCUUUCAAUCAUUUUAAGAACUUUCACUGGGAAGAUAAACAGCUGAGCCCAGUAAGCUUGAAUUCCAAAGAUGACAGAUUGCACCAAUUGAAGUCUCCCAGAGUAUGACAGUGUUCUAGCAGUCCAAGAGGUGAUCCUAGCUGUGAUUUUCUCCACUAAUGGCUGCCACUAUAGUAUGGUAAUUUUCUUGGUGCUCAGUGGUACACCCAGGUACUUGAAAGGCAGGUGGCCUUGUUCAUAUCCAAGAUGGUCAAGGAUCUGCUUCUGUACAGGUAUUGAUACUCCUCCAAAAUAGACUGAGCUCUUGUUCAAGUUGGCCUUGAGACCUGAGGCUGCAGAGAAUUAGAAGAAGCAUUUACCCGAUAGUCCCCAUUUUGGGAACGUCCAGUGCCAAAGUCACUGAAUGGGUAAGUCGCCUAUCCCUGUUGGAUAAUGCCUUGACAGAUUGGAGGUCUCCCUUGGUAGAGCUGUUGUUCAAGUUGGCCUUGAGACCUGAGGCUGCAGAGAAUUUGGAGAAGCAGUUGGAUAAUGCCUUGACAGAUUGGAGAUCUCCCUUGGUAAACAGCAACAAGUCAUCUGCAAAGCACAUAUGUGUAAUAUCUAGUUUUUUACAUCUGGGAUGGAAUUGAUAUGCUGGAUCAGCUUGUAAUACAGUACAUGACCUGCUUAAAUACUCCAUGACCAAGGCAAAUAGGAAUAGGAAUAGGGAAAUGGGGUCCCCUUGCCUCAAUCCUUUGGCAGCAGCAAAUGGAACAGUAGGCUCUCCAUUAACUAAAACAGAGUAGCUCACUAUUGAUAUACACUCCAUAAUCUAUUUGGUGAAAGUGCUAAGGAAUCCAAUCUGCUCCAUGACUUGCUGUAAGAACACCCAUUCCACUGAAUCAUAUGCUUUCUGGAGAUCUAUCUUAAUCAUGCAUCUGGGGGAGACAUGCUUCCUAGUAUAUCUUUUAACAAGCUCAUGAGCUAGGAUGAUGUUAUCCUGAAUUUUCCUACCCGGAAUGAACCCUGUCUGAGCUUCAUUGAUGAGGCUUGCCAUCACCUCCUGCAGCCUAUUAGCCAGUACUUUGGAGAUGAGUUUGUAUAGGACAGUACAGGAAGCAAUAGGUCUAUACUCUUUGAUUGAAGUUGGUUUGGACAGUUUAGGGAUGAGGGUAAUAGUUGCACAAUUGAUUGGUCUGGACAGUACAGCAUGCAAUAGGUCUAUACUCUUUGACUGAAGUUUGUUUGGACAGUUUAGGGAUGAAGGUGAUAGUUGCACAAUUGAUUGGUCUGCACUUCUUUGCUGAGUUGAAGAACUGUUUAAUGGCAGUAGUGACUUGGUUACCAAUGAUGCUCCAGCUCUUUUUGAAGAAAACAACAUUGUAUCCAUCUAUUCCUGGUGCUUUGUCAUCUCCAAUAGCUUUGAGACUCUCUGUUAUUUCUGUUUCAGUAACUGGAGCACGCAGUUCCUGUCUUUGCUGUUGUGUCAAUUUUGGGCCUUUGGACAUGUACAAUUGGUUGAUAGCAGGUAGUUUAGGUUCAGCAGUGCCCAUCAUUGCUUUGUAGAAUCCCAGGAUUUCUUCUUUAAUUUCUGUUGGUGCAAUCAGCUUGGUUCCCUGGGCAUUGGUAAUCUCAUUGAUCUGCUUCUGCUGACUUCUGUCCUUCAUUACUGCAGUAAAGUACUUGGUGUUGGAGUCUCCAAGUUGUAUCCACUUUGCUCUUGCCUUCUGUUGCAAGACACUCUCCUCAAUUUGCAGGACGCUCUCCUCAAUCAGUGACCAUUUUUCCAGUUGCAAUAUCAGUUCCUUCUCCUUCUGUUGUAGUGCAUCAUUGUAGGCUUGGCUCAAUUGGGUUUGUAGGAUUCCCAGUUCCUGUCGACUCUCCUCAAUUCUAUGUGCAAUUGUCUUGAACUCCUUAUUAUUCAGUGUCUUCAAAGGAGUCUUCAAGGCUUUGAGCUUGUCCCAUAUUGUUCUCAUGGUAUCUGUCUUCCCAUCCUGCCAUACUGUUGUCACAAUGUGUUGGAAAUCCUUGUGUUCAGCCCAUACAUUAAAGAGUUUGAAGUUCCUCUUCCCUUGCCAGGAGGGUGCUUUCAGUGUUAGUAUCAUUGGGUUAUGGUCUUAAAUUAAUGGUACAUCAUACUCAGUGACCACCUGGUUCCAGUUGAUCCUCCAUUCAAAAUUGCCAAACACUCUAUCAAGCCUGCUGCAUACUCUGUCCACACCAGUUUGCUUAUUGGAUUUGAAGUUCCUCUUCCCUUGCUAUGAGGGUGCCUUCAGUGUUAGUAUCAUUGGGUUAUGGUCUAAAAUUAAUGGUACAUCAUACUCAGUGACCACCUGGUUCCAGUUGAUCCUCCAUUCAUAAAUGCCAAACACUAUAUCAAGCCUGCUGCAUACUCUGUCCACACCAGUUUGCUUAUUGGUCCAUGUGUAGUAGUCACCUCUCCUGGGUAACUCUGUCAGUCCAGUAAGUUGUAGGCAAUUGUUGAAAUCCACAGUUUCUGGUAAUCUGACUGACUUGCAAGAUUGUCUAUCUCUGUCACACAAGACUGCAUUGAAAUCCCCAGCAACAACCCAUGGUUCUUUGAUUCCUGUUGCCAAAUUUUGUAAGCUGCUCCAUAAAGUUCUUACUGCAUUGAGAUCCCCUGCAACAACCCAAGGUUCUUUGAUUCCUGUUGCCAAGUUUUGUAAACUGCUCCAUAAAGUUCUUCUCUGGUCCUGUCCAUUAAAUCCAUAAAUCACAGUAAGGAAACAAUUCAAGUCCCCUGUUCUGCUGGAAACCCUGUUGUGGAUCAAUUGGCUUCCUCCAGAAUACUAGUGACUGUGAAAAUUUUUGGAUUCCAUAGGAUCCAUACUCUACCUUUCUCCCCUGAGACAUAGUUAGUUAGGACACCCCAACCUGGUGCUAAUAGAUUAGCAAUUCUAUUAGCAUGUGCUUGCUUAACUUUUGUUUCUACCAGUCCUACUAGGUUAAUGUUGUGUUUCCUAAUGUAUUCUCUAAAUUCUUUCUGCUUGUACCUCUUAUUUACACCCCUUAUGUUCCACACUAACCACUUCAUUGAUAAGAUGUUGAUGUAGUGUUCCCAAUCUCCCCCGGAGGUUCAUCUUUAUUACUAGAUACUGCUAUGUUCCACACUAACCACUUCAUUGAUAAAAUGUUGAUGUAGUGUUCCCAACCUCCCCCGGAGGUUCAUCUUUACUACUAGAUACUACUGCAAAUCUGUUACUCACAGUCAUGGGCGACAGAGGGGGAAAAUUGAUACUGUUGAGGGCUAGGCUCUGAGGUUGCUUUCCCUUGUCCUUGCUCUUAUCACCCUUCUGGUUCUGGCUUGACCUGGGUUCCUGCUGAGGUCCUCUAGGCUCCCUUGUUGGGGACUGUCUCUGUAUUGGCAUAACAGGUCCCUUGGUUCUCCACUCCUGAACUGACUUGGGCUUCCACACUUGUGUAGGCUGUUUUUGUAGGCUUGCGCAGUUGUGUCCUAUUGUUUGACAUUUCUCACAGAAUGAAGGCUUCCAUUCAUAUUCCACAUCUUGAUCACCUCAAUGAGCAUUCUGGCAUAGGAUAUCCUUGUCUAUUUUGUAGUACACUCAUCAGCAAAGAUUGGCUUGCCUAGCACACUAGCAAUUAUGUAAGAGAUCUCAUACCCUAGCAUGACAUUGGUAGUUUUGGGAAUUUAACCCACAGUGGUAUUUCAGUCGGAAACUCUUCUGAAAAAUCAAACUCUGGUGUCCAUUGCUUGAGAAUCAUCGGCCUAUUGGCUAUUGAGUAAUGGCCAGCACAGAGUACCUCUUUGGCAUCAGCCACUGUCUUGAAUUUAACAAUGUAGUAUCCCUCAUCAUGGUAGAACAAAUCUGGUUCGGGAACAUGGGACCAGUGAUGGUUUAUGAAUCUUCUCAUUCGUUGAAUCCAGGACCAUCUCCUAGAAUGUAUAUCACUAAGGCAUCCACUUGGCUUCCUUCUCUUCCACCUCUGCUCAUUCCAGUUGUACUAUGGGCUUUCCUUCAACUAAAGUUGGGGCUAUGUAGUCGAGUGUCAUACCAUGAGUCGCAAAGCGAUUUUUCUGAAAUAGUGUUAACCAUGGCUUCUUAGGUUCUUCUGCUUUGUUUUUGAUAAUCUCUGGUUGUUCUUCAGUUGGUAUUUCGGGUUGCAUGGUCGUCUCUGUCACAGGACUUGCUUCAACUGUAGUCGGAGAGGUUGGAGUACCCUCAACCUCUGGUGUCAUUGGAGUUUCUGUAGUCGUUCUUUCUGGCACAUCUGAUUGUUCGGUCACUAUCUCUGCCGGUGGCACCGCCUCUUCCAUGGCGUCUAGGGUUUCCUCCGAGGACAAUUUCUGCACUUCCUUCACGGUAUUCUUCUCCAUAAUCAGUUGAUUAAGCUUGUCAAAGGUAUCAAUUGGGAUUUUACGUGGUCUUCCCCUUCCUCUGCUCCCGCCUUUCUCCAUCGCCACACGCUCGGCGUACGUUCUGCUAACGUGCGCCGAGAGAGAUGAAGGUUAGGGUUUUAGUUUAUGUAAUAAUAAAAUUAAUUAUAUUAAUCUUAAUUUAUUCAUUUAAAGUAUAACAAAUGCUUUUAGGCUCUUUAUUCUAAGAACAAUUUUUAAAAAAAAGUUAGUUCGUCCUUAAUAUUUGAAAAUAUUAAAUAUUGUGGCUCGGCGUACGUUAUGCUAACAUGUGCCGAGAGAGAUGAGAGAGACUGGUGGAGAGAUUUUGAAAUUGAAGAGGCUUAGCUCGCGUUUGGUCAUAGAUUUUAGCUAUUUUUUUUCAAAAAAUGGUUUAGAGCAUUGUUUCUUCAUAGAAUAUGAUUAGUUUUUUUUUUUAAAAAAAAUUCAAGUUCCCAAAAACUGGUUUAGGAAAGUUUUUUGGUGAAUUUUUUUUUCCACUAACAAAAUUUUAACUUUUUUUCAAAUAAAAUGUUUGUCCCAACAUAAUUUCAACUUUCAAAAAUUAUUUUUAACAUAAUUUGGAAAACUUUUUUCGAGCUUCAAUUAAAUUUAUGUCCAUACGGUAGCAUAAUUCUCGAAUGGGUGACUACUAGUACUUUUUAUGAGAUUUAUUGACACUGUAAGAGAAGUCUUAAAAAGUUAAUCUAACAAAACAUGAAAUAGAUUAUUAUAUUCUAACACAAAAACCUAAACUUAAAAAAUUACUUGAAGACACUUUAGUAGUAGUAUUUUUUUUAACACCUUAACAAGAAAUUGUUUUAAUUAGUGGACCACUUGAUCAUCAGUUUUAUUCUUUGGUGGUCCAUCAAUCAAAUAUGGGAUAGCAUAUUGUUGCAUUUCUUGAAUAUCCAUUCCAAGGUGAUAUCCUGGUAACUUUAUGAACUUCACUUUUCCAGCUUUAUCCAAUGUUUGUAAUCCAAACGUGUCCUCUAGAUAAAGAUUAGUCUGCCAAAAAAAAAAUAUUAUUACUCCUAAAAUAUAACAUGGUUAUUGAUUUUAAAAUGUAGAAAAGAAAUAGGAUAAUAAUAUUACCUGUUGCGGUGGCAAAAUUUGAGAGUAGGUUCCAUCUUGAUAAAAGCCAAACCAAGAACUUUCUUUUGGGUUUAUAACAUUAUCAUUUUCAAACUAUAAAUAUAUUCAAAAUAAAAUGGGGAUUAUUUAGUUAGUACAUUAUUGAAUAAAAUAAUAAAUAUAUGUGGAGAUUAAAAAAGAUUGUUAAAAAAAGAGUAAAAUAUACCAUGAUAAGGACAAGGUUCUGCAAACUGGUGAAACGUUGCUUAUAUAUGGGAUUAGUUGCAUUAGGAAUUUCAUUAUUAAGGUUUGGCAGAUACCUACAACCUCUCAAGUAUCCAGCAAUAUCCUGAGAAAAAAAAAAGGAGAACCAAUUUAAAGAAAAUGUUAAAUUAUAAUCUGUACUUUCCAAUUUAAAUAAGAGUAUUUACGAAUAUAACCAAAGAAAUAAUUAGCAAGUAUUACUCACAUUUGGAAGCUUGGUGUAGCCACUAGGAGCAUAAUGAGCCUAAGAUUUGCAGAUUAAAAACUCGUUUACUAAAAAAUAAUCGUUUGAAAAAAAAAUUGAAAGGAAAGAAAUAUUAAAAGAGAAUUUAAAGAGGGCAUACUUGAACAUAAUCGGAGUAUAUUCCAAUUCCAGAGGCACCACCAGCUCCAGCACACCAAGGGCCACCCUAUUAAUUAAAGAACAUAAGUUAUUUUACACUUCGUAAUUAAUAUUGUUAUUGUUAUGGAUAGUUAUAUACACCAACAAUGUAAAUAAUUUAUAUAUUAUUGACGUAAUUUAACUUGUGAUACUAUAUUAGUUAUAUACUCGGUUGCAUUGCACUGUUAUUCUUUACUAUUUGGUCUUCUAUGUUCUUUGUUGUUGAUCCAUUGCAGUCAAAUUUUUGCAUUACUCGGUUUAUUUUACAUUAUAAAUGCAUAGAAAUAAACUCUAUUGUUAUUGUUAUUAUUAUUAUUGUAAUUGUUGUUAUUAUAUUACUACGAUUUGGAUAGAUAUAGAAUUACAUACAGCGCAGGCAGGAGCAUCAGCAACACCAGCAUUAGGUCCACCUAUUGAGAUAAAAUUCUUGACCUGUGGCACAUUUAAGUUCCAAAAAGAAAAAAAGAAGACCACAAAUGCAAAAAACGAUGAAACGUAAAUAAUGAACAUAAAAAGAAAAAAAUAUUAGUAAAAUAUAAUUGUGAUAAAAUUCUCACUGGAGGUGCUCCAUCACAGAACUCUAUAAGCCCUCUUGCUACCAUAUUUCCCUGAAAAACACAAUUUCCAUACAUAAAAUAUUGAUCGCCGCACAAUUACUCUUUUCGUCUUAAAUUAUCUGCUGUGAUUUAAAAAUAAUUAUCUUAAAUUAUUGUUAUUUUAGAAGUUCAAAACUAAAUUAAUUUUUUAUAAUUUUAUCCUUAAUAGUAAUUAUUCUAGAAGAUGGAAAUAUAUAGUAUAUAAAUAGAGUAAACAUUUAAUGAAGAAAGAUUAUAUCUUAUGACAAAAAUAAGAGUAAAAUAGUCUAACAUUCUUCCUGAUUAAUAUUUUCUUAAAGGGCAUGGAAAAGAAAAAUAUGAGGGAGAAAUGAGAAGACAAAAAGGAAAAAGUAAGGGAGAUACAUUUAUGAUUAAAGGGCAGUUCGGUGCACUAAGCUUUUGCUAUGUGGGGGAUUUUGUAAAGACCCGGAUCACAAGAGUCUAUCAUAUACAGUCUUACCCUAUAUUUCUAUAAAAAGCUAUUUUUAUUGCUCGAACAUAUGACCUCUUGAUCACAUGACAAUAACUUUACAAGUUACGUCAAGAUAAAUGUAUUUACCUGUGAGAGACCAAUUAAGUUGUAACCUUGUUGAAGUUCAUUCAUUCCCUUCACCUAUAAUUUAAUUUCAGACGUUGUCAAUAGUUUUUCAAUUUUUAAAAAGUUUUUAUUCUAAAAAGGAAAGUUGAAAAGAGAAACAAAAAGAAUGGUGAUGUCUCAUUACCUUUUCACAAGCAAUUUGAACCUACAAAAGUACAGCAUGGGAAAAAGAAAGGCACGGAUUACAAUUCAUAAAAAGCACAAGAAUUUUAUGCAAUUAAUUCAAUCGAAAUAAUGAGAAACAAUAAGAAUCACUACUUUAUUUCAACUGUUACCUGAUUGUCUAGAGGCAUGCUGUAGGAAUCAUACGCUCCAUUUCCAAUUUCUCUACCCAAAAAAAAAGAAGUGAAAAUUCCAGACAUUAAUAAACAAUAACAACAAUAGACUAUAACUUGGUACACUGGUGUAAAACUGUUUUACACAAUCAGAUUAAAGUUACCUAUAACAUUAUGUAAGUUUCCAUAAUAAUAUAUGCCUAUUUUGAUAAUAUAAAAGGUAAAGUAAAUAACAUGAUAUGUAACUAGAAGCGCAUGUAGCGUAUAGAGUUUAUAGUUUCAUCUGAACAGAUAACUUUCGAUACAACGAAUAUAUUAACGUACAAAAAGACCAAAAGUCUCCUAUAUUAACCUGUUACACAACAUUAUUAGGGUAAUUUGGAUUAAAAAAAUGGGCACCUGCAUACACACACAACAUUAUUAAAAUUUCAAAACAAAUAUUAUACUUGAACCCAUAGUUUUAAAGUUUUAACAGUAUAACAAGUUUAUUGUAAGUUUAAAUCCAUUAAAUUCAAAUUAUGAAUUCGUAUCUGAAUGUAAUAGGUAAAACCGUAAAAGUUACUAUACUAUUGUGGUGUAAAAAUUAAACUUGACUUGUAUUUCUCACCAUCAACCGUAGUAAAAAAUGUCAGUAAUAAAAAUAAUAGCAAUGAUAAUCAUAAAAAAUUAAUUUAUGAUUUAGCUGAUCAUUUCAUGCAUGAGAAGAAGACAAAUAUAUUGUUAGAAAAUAACAAGGAAAACAAAUUAACGUACAAGCAGUAUCCGUUAGAUCUAGACAAGAGGCUGAGUUGUGACGUAUAAAAUGUACUUCCUGCAUCAUUACACGACUGCCCAAGCCCUGCCAUGAAAAAAUACCUCAUAAUUCCAUUUCCAUAUGAAAAUUAAUUACUAAAAAGAAAUGUUAAUCACAAUAUAAAUAAAAAGAUUACCAUGCAAUACUAUGAAAGGAGUAGAAGUCGAAAGACAUAUGGAACAGAAGAUUGAAAUUAUAAAGAGAAUUAAAGUUUCUGAACAUAAAUAAGCUAUUAUUGAUCGAGCUUCUUCUGAUCUUUUUCCCUAAAUAUAAUUUGUUUUCUUCUUUGUUUACAGGUUUUGCAAAGAAGAAAUGGAGGGAUGUGCAGAAGUUUCAGCUUUAGUAAGUUGGAUAUAUAUUACCACUUUUGGAGCAAUCAGUAUGGGGACAAAUUUUAAAUUAUUUCCUUUGUUCGUCCUCUUUCUAAAUAUUUUCCACUUUUAUUGGCAAUUCUGGAUAUCCAAUUAGUGUUUUGAUUUUUUUUGCCUUAUAAUGUCUUAUAAGGGUAUUUUGUCAUAACGUCUAUUUUUCGCCAAAUAAAGAAUAAGAAAACUAAUGUGUACCAAAACGCCAAAGGUGCAUAUUAUUGGUUAUUUCUCAUCUUUACGUCAUGUAAUAGGAAAGGUGUAGUGGGCGUUUGGACAUAAAGAAUUGUAAAAUUUUAAAAUAGGAGGAAAAUGUUUUUGAAAUUUAGAGUUACAUUUGGACAUAAAUAUAAUUUUGGAUUGUUUUCAAAAUUUGUGAGUGAUUUGAGUGAAAAUUUUGAAAAACAGUUUUUUGGAGUUUUUUAAAUUUUCAAAAAUUUCCAAAAUGUAUCUUCAAGUGGAAAUUGAAAUUUUUAUGAACAAACGCUGAUUUUGAAAAAAAUAAUUUUUUUUUGGAAAAAGGAAAAAAUUUCUUAUGUUCAAACAGGCUCUUAGUCCAUUUUCAUACUUCUUCAAGUAGCAAAAUUUUAACUUAAAACGGAAUGAUUUAGAACUAUUUAAUUUCUAGCUAAAUACUUUAACAUCUUAGCAAAUGGAAAACAACAUUUCAGUAUACAAUGGCAAGUGUAACUGAGAGUCGUAUUACAUCUAACUAGGCCACUUUAAUUCCAUCUUUUUCACUAUAUAAUAUAUAUAUAAAAAGAAAAAUUUCCUGCUGAUGCAUGUCAAUAUAACAUGAACAUAUUACAAUUCUCCUCUUAAGUUGCAACACAUUUCGGUUGGUAAAAUUAAUCUUUUUAUCUUUUUUCAAACACAAUCUUGUUACCCCGUCGAGAAUUGUUUUUCUUGACCCGAAAAUCUUUGAAAAAUAGUCUCACUAACUCUGUAAGGUAGGGUUAAGGGUCACACAUAUAUUAGAUAUGUUGUUAUUUUGAAACACAAAUUUUUAUUUAUUUUGAAAAUGGCUGCUUUAUUUAUGUGCAGGAUUCUAAUUCUAGCAAAGAACCUUUGAUCCUCCAUUAUUCACGUGCCCACUUUCACCAAAAAAGAAAUUAAUUAAAAAACUAGUCAAAGUGAACUGAUACACAAUAUUUGUAACGGUUAUCAGCAGUCUAUUUCUCAUCACUAAUUAAGAUUUUGUAGCUCAAUAUAUGAGGUAUGAUCUUCUAAAAAAAUGUUCACGUUUAUAAUGAAAUUGAUUUAAUAUAUAUAUCUUCCUUACUUAUGAGCUUAAUCCCUGCAUAAAAGUAAUCAUCUUAAUUCCUAAUACCGACGUAUCAAAGAUCUUAGGGAUUUGCCAGGUUGGGUUGUAUUAGUUAUUGAUAUUGGAAUCUUUUAUCGCACGUAGAAAGAUUUUCGAAAUUGUUAAAAUUAAAAUUGUCAAUGAGCAAACAAGACUUCUUUGAAUAAAUGUGACAUGGUGUAAUUUUUAAAGUGAAAAUGAUACUGUAUAAUCUCUCUCAAAAUAACAGAUAUUAGAAUCUCUUAUCGCACAUAAAAAGAUUUUCGAAAUUGUUAAAAUUAAAAUUGUCAAUGAGCAAACAAGACUUGUUUGAAUAAAUGUGACAUGGUGUAAUUUUUGAAGUGAAAAUAACACAGUAUAACCUCUCUUAAAAUAAUACCUGAAACAAAAUUAUUUAUAUAUAUGAUAGUACUUUAUGAAAAAUUCUCUUUAUUCUUCAAUGACAAUAUUGAAGAUCUUAGCAUAAUUCUACUUUUCUUCUCUUUGCUAAAGAAUAUGUUUCUCUUGUAAUCUCAAAUAUUAGUCGUUUUUUGUAAAGAAAUUUAUUUAAAAUAUUCGACAUUUUAUAAAACAAGAAGCAAUUUAUUACAAAGCUAUAUAAUUAGACAUGAAGUUUAAUAAAAAAGAGAAUACUUUUGAAUUUAUUGUGUAAAAUGAGAUACAUAUAUCUUGUAUGGUUAUAAAUUAUUUCAUAAAGAUAAAUUAGUUUUAAAAAUGAAAAAAGGUUAUCCUUUUUGGCAUAGAAUACAAAGAAAAUAGUUCACAUAUAAGGGUUCAAAACUUAAUAUAUAAAGGUAAAAAAAUAAAUUUUGCCUAUACAGUUGUUUGGCGAUGCCUCCGCCACUGCACAUGAGCAGCUGGUGUCCCAUUGAACUUUUGAUCUUAAGGGUUUCACGUAAAAUAUAUUAGUGUUUUCAAUAUAUAUGCAUAUAUAUAUAUAUAUAUAUAUAUAUAUAAAACUUUUACACUUUGCGGUUAUUGGACAUAAAAAGUUUCUGUCACGGGCUAAAUAUAAUCUUUGCCCUAAUUUACAUGGGCAUGUAAAAUUCUUAUCAGUUGUAUACCGAAGUUCAUUAUAGAUCUCCUUGAUAUGUUCACACUGCUAAUACCAAAAAAGAAAUACAGUAGAAGUAAUUUAGAUAUGUACCUUUAUCUACCUGUCUAUUUAGUGGUCAUUUUCAUCAGAAACAACGUCUCUGCCCUACCGGGACAUGAAUAAAGUCUGCGUACAUAUUAUUCUCUUCAAAUCCCACUAUGUGAGAUUUUACUCGAUAGUUGUAGUUGUUGUUUCUUUGGUUUAAAAUGAUUCUUGUCCAAUUGACUCUGUUUUAGCAAAUUUUACCAUCUUAUACUACAUUUAGGAGCUCUAGUUGGGGCACUAACUCACACAAAGUAACAAAGGCCACACAGUUGCUAGUAAUGCUAUCUGAUAUUAGUAGUAUAUCACAUACAUGUACAUAUAAGAUGACAUAUAGCUUACAAUCAAAGCCAUGUUAUAUUUCAAUGAAGUUGUAUAUCGUGUAAUCAUCCAACAAUCAAACAACCAAAUGAAGGGUCAAGAGACUGAUUCAUCUAUGGUCAAACCAAGUAGAUCGGCGAAGAAGCUCUUGACAGGUGCAGGCCAAUUAUAAGAUGAGGAACCUUCAAACGUUAAAAUGGUUAAUGACUCGUCUUGCAAAUCAUGCAAUGCCAUGCUCUCCACAUUUACAGAGCUCCCGUCUGUUGAUGCAUUCUCUGUUAAGUAUGGAACAACAUGCUUUCUCAUAUCACUGGAAGAAAUUUGAAGAUGAUUCCCAGCUACUUUGACAUAUUGCAUCUUCCCAGAAUCGUCUAAGGUUUUCAAACCAAUCCAAUCCUCGGUGUAGAGCUUAGUCUGCAAAAAAAUUAAGGCAAUAAUCUCAAUAGGGUAAACUUCAAGCACAUGUAGGGAAAAGCAAAAUUUCUUUUCAAGAUUGUUGGGCUUACCUUUAGUGGACUUGCAAGGGGAUUAUGUGGUAAGGUUAAGACAUGACGUUAUGAUGGAAUAGAGAAUAUAUAAAUAGGUGUGCAAGUGCAGAUGUAAGACAUAGUUGCUGUUGUUAGUUAGCAAAGAAACCAUUGACAUUAAUUAUCAAAUUUAAAGAAAUCGAUCAUAUUACAGAAUUGGAAAUUCUACAGGUAAGUCCUUGAAUUACAGUAAUCCCAGGGAACAUGACAGAAGUUCAAAGGGCCUAGUUCGAGAUAUAAUUCAGUUGAGGUUGGUUCUAGUUUGACAAAUGUCGAGCUCAAGCCUUAAGAACUCGGUCACAGUUAAUUAGAAAGAAACACGAGCACACUACAUUGGGAAAUUGACCAAUCAUUGCAAUUAAUCGUUGAAUGUCAAAUAGUACUAAAGAAUGGAGCUUCUACCAAUAACUCCUUGGAGUUCAGUUAGCCUGCCAACAGGAUUGAAGCAUAAAAGCCUAGUUCGAGAUAGCAUUCAGUUGAAUUUAUUAUAGUUUGAUACAUGUGAAUUAGAACAGUGAGAUUAUUGCACGUCUAAUCGAGUCCACUUGAAUAUUAAAAAACUUAUCUCUGUAGCUUCUCAUUUAUGUGAAGGGGUUUACUUACAUUUUUUUAUAAAAAAAAAAGAUAAAUGCAUGACAUAAAUGGCAAAAGAGGCUUGAUUAAACCAUAUGGAGGAGCAGAAAAGUCUUAGAAAAUUUAUCUUUAAACUGUCAAUAUCUUGAUCUCGAGCUUGCGUUUUUGUUCUGCAGGCACAAUUAAUUUUAAGCUUCAAAUGAAGCUGAAGCCCAAAAUCAAAGCCGUGCAUAAUACAUUCAGGUUGAGUCAAGAUUAACUAGAUCUUAAACUUGGCUUGAUUCAAGUCCCACCUAAUUGGACUGAACCCAACCCGAUGAAACUUUUUGUGGCUUUUACUUAUAGCCAUUUCACAACAUCUUGGUGGUAAUUGUAGAGGACAAUUAAUUGCCCUCUUGUUUUGGCAUUAAUGAUUGGUAGAAAAGAAAAGGUAGCAAAUAUGAGCUCUACAUAGUAAGUUUCUUUCUACCUAUUUAGUCCGUUCGGAAACACCACAAACACCCCUAUCUGAUUCUCAAAGGUUACAGAUGAAAUCCGAAAAAUUAGAACAUGUAACUAAGGUAUAUGGCAUAUGCAGUAUUUUGGGUACUUUGAAGGAUAACAGAGGAAAAGAAAAAGAUGAGAGAGAACAAACUGCAUGAAGAAAUUGAUCAAGGGCGGAAAAGAUAAGGGCAUGUCUUGUUUACUGUAACAGCAGCAAAUAGUAAUAUAAAGCGAACAAUACUCUUAACCAGAUUUAACAGCAUACCUUAUUUGGUGGCAAAAUGGGGUCAAACGCCCCAUCUGGAUAAUAUCCAAACCAAGAAGUCUCCCUUGGUAUCAAAACAGUGUCAUGUUCAAACUGUGAAUAAGAAAGAAAAAGAACACAGGAAGAAGAGCGAUGUUACUGUAACUGCUGCAAAUUGCGGUCAUCUGACACAAACUGAAACAAAGAAACAAAAAGAGAAUGCAAUGACAGGGCUGCAGUACAAACCAUGAUAAGGAGAAGAUUCUCCAAGCUGCUGAACCGUUUCUUAUAGGUGGAAUUUCUGUGACUAGGGAUUUCAUUGUUAAGCUUUGGGAGAAAAUGACAGGCUUUCAUGUACCUAGCAACAUUCUGUGAAGAGAGAAAUACAAGUUAAGCUUCCACACGUGAAAGAUUGGCAAAUAAAUUUUGCCUCGUCACCCCACUCUAGGAGAAAACAACUCAUCCUGGGGAAAACAAUCAUUGGAAGUUUCAAACUUCCAAAAGAAGGAAAAGGAGAUUAAUUUACUUUUGAGACACCAUAUUUUUUUUCAUGGCAUUCACAACCAUCACCUUCUUUUAGCAUUUUUUUCAACAUCCAACUACGGUAUUCUUUGAUUUCAAAUUCAGAAGAAAAAGCACAUUAUAAAAUGGUAACUACAAAAUAAAGCAAAUACGAAUUAGUUAAACAAAUGAAUAAAAAAUUCCUCCCCUUUUUUUUGUGUCAUCAACAACCUACCUAAAAUCCCAAAAUGCAGCAGCCACCAGAUGCAGUCAACUCCUCUCUAUCCUUCAAAGGACUUACAUGCAACCACUUCUUUCUGUUAAAACAAUAACUCGUAUAAAAUAGAGAAAUAGAGACAAGCCAUCUAGAACAGAGAGGAUAAGCAUUAUGAAUUUUGGAGUGUGAGCAUUGUGGCUUGUCAAAUUGUUCUCUUUUUAGUGCAACCAGGCUUUUUGCAAAUUUGAAAUUUGAUUUUAGAUAUUCCAUUCCCACCAAUAUACAGAGAAGAAGCAAAGUUGUGAAGCAACUAAAAAUUGUCAUAGGAUUGUUUGCAGAUCACGUUAUGACAUUACGUAAUGUGAAAUGCAAUAAUAUGCCACUUACAUUUGGAAGCAUGAGAUACCCACUAGGCGCCAAGUGAGCCUGCAAAUUAAAUAUUAUCAUUCCAAGGAAGCAUGCCAAACUUCCCUUAGUAAAUAAAACAGUAUCAGAACUUCGUAAUACCUGGACGAAUGCAGAGUAUAUCUCCGACUUGAUUAGACUAUCAGCAAUAAUGCAAAAAAUGCCAGACUGCAUAGUGAAUAUGAGAUCAAGAACAAUGUGACAACAUGCCAAGGAGUAUGAUUCGGCAAUAAAAAAUCUAUAAAUCAGCCUCGCCACCCAUGCUGCAGUGAAACCACUACUGUGAUCGUAUUUCACCUCAGUAAUUAUCAUCAAGAAGCUAGAACAGUGGUUAAGAGACUUCUGUUAACUUUUCCCAAAGGAAGAAGGCAGAUGACCAAAGAGAAAAAUCCUUACAUAAAUCAGCUACCAGAAACUACCAAGUAAACUUGUCUUCUCGAAGGAUAGAUGCAAAUGAUGGUAUAAAACUAUACAAACACUUACACCACAGAGAGGAACUGAAGCACUGCCAGUAUGAGGUCCUCCUAAGGAAAUAAAAUUCUUAACCUGUCAUGGGAACAAGCACAAAUGCUUAUCAUUGAAAUUUCUCAAGUACAGCAAACAUAAGGCCUAGACAGAUGACAACAGUAACAUGUCGAAUUAAUAAUGUAAAGAAAAGCCACAUGAAAGACAAAGAAGUUCAAUAAUUUCUCUCUUGGACUUCUCCUUUUUCCUUCUUUGGAGACCGAAAAAUUAAAGAUUUCUCCGUUCACUACAAAUAAUGCAGAUUACAAGGUUGGGAAGCAGCAUGUUUUAACCUGUCAUCUCUUUAGGUAGUCAACACAAUAUAUCACUUCGUUCCUCCAAUUACUGUAAAGAGGGAGAUAAAGUACUUCUUUUUCUCGUCGUAUUUCAUUUUCUUCAUUUUUCAUUCGCAUUCCCAUACCACAAAUUAGGGAGUCUUGUUUUUUCUUCAAAAAUUACAGAUUGGUGAGUACUGCAGGAAAGACUGGUUGUAUUUUUUGAUUCCGAGCAAUAUAUGUGAUGGACUAUUCGAAGCACAAAUACUAAUGAAGUUCAUCGUAAAGACCUGAAAUUUAUUUCCACUGAUGGUAGGCCCUCAAAUUCCAAAGAAUGACUUCUACUGAUGGUUUCCCCACUUUGUGAGAUUACACCGGAUAUGUUGUUGUUGGCUUAUACUGAUGGUGAAGAGUAUUGCAUUAAUACUUAGGCUGCCGUUUUAAGGAAAUGAGGACAAGGUGAAGAGCAAUAAUUCUGACAAUCUACCAACAACCUUGCUAGGAGUGGAAAUUAGAAACUGGAACUGGAGAAAUGACAUUCUGUAGGAGAUAAAGAAAAGAAUGUGGAGCCAAAGAUUUUUUAUUUUAAAGGAACAUUAUUAUAUUUGACAAGUGAGCCCAAGGAAGACUUCCCACAGUAAUUUUCUAGUUUCAAGGUUCCAUUGCCCUAGUGAAUAAUGGGAGAGCUCACUGCAAAUAAGAUAAUUGUAACCAGUCACAGACUGAUAUAUAGAGCAGCUAAUCAUAGUUUACACAGAGGUUCACAUCCACAUAUGUCGCAAGAGCUGGAUUGAAAUGACUAGAAUAGAAAGAUCUGAUUUGACUUAAGCAAAUAAAAUCAGAAGUCAAUCGGAAUUACAUGAAGAAAGCCAAAAGCCUGCUUUAGGCUUUUAGCCUACCUGUGGUCCUCCCUCUCAAAAUUCGACAACAGCUCGGCCUAUUAGAUUACCCUGCAUCAUAAGCAGAUGAGCAGUAAAUAUGCAGUCCAUGCAGCCUCAAACCAAUUGAAUCCAAAAUAUUACAACACAAAAUAAGCAAAUACAUUCCAAGCAAAUAAUAAUGUUAUUAUAUCAUGUGUCUUGCAUGACCCAGACGCUAUUAGUUUUGGAUGUUUGGUACGAGUUAGGCCAGUUCGGUAAUUGCAGACUUAGGUCAAGGAUCAUACUGGUCACCAACAGGUUAUAUGGAUAAAUAAAUCCAAGUGGAAUUAGUUAAGGACCAUAUUGACACACAAAUAUGAUACUAAGUGAUGAAAAUUACACUCAUAAAAGUAGUAUGCAAAUUUAGAUGAUCUAGUUUCUUGAAAUAACCUGGGAGAGACCAACUAUGUUGUACCCAUCUUGGAGUUCUUUCAUUUCCUUCACCUGUACUCAAAAAUUUGUUUCGCCAAUGAGUAAAACAAACAUGAGAGAUUAUCCACAAUAAAAUUCACUAAGUGACAUAGCUCCAUCACCUUGCUACACACUAUAUCAGCCUGCACACGAGAAAGAACAGAUCAGAACUAGGUUCUCAAGAUUUCAUUGCCCAAGAUGACUAGCAUUUAAAUUAUAAUGCAAUGUCAUUACCUGAUCCUCUAAAGUCAUAAACCAAGAGUCCCGUGAUCCAUUUCCGAUUUCCCUACCAGGGGAAAGUUCAAAGAGAGUGCAAUUACUAAACAAUACAUAACCAUAUCUGGAGAACAAAACACUGAACACUGAUGAUUUUGUAGGACUUGGACCAUAGAACAGAAUCAUAUAAGCUAAGACUGUUUGGAAAUAGAUUAGAUUCAGCAAGUACAAUUCAAAAUGCAAAAUCCUGAACCCCAGCCAUACUAAUUCGUAAACUCUCUAUUGACAGAUAAAAGACAUGGUGAUAUAUUACCUUUUCUUCAGACCUAUUUCAACUAUGGCUUCAAGGGAAAACAAAAAAUUCCUACUAAUGAUCUAAAAAAAAUACAUAAAAACUAGGAGACAUUAGAAAUCUUUUUUUUUUCAUUUUCUUCUGGUGUGCGUUCCUAACUUUAUCUUUGUUUUCCAAUGCAGCUUUUCAUUCUGUCCUAUGCGCCGAGGGUCNNNNNNNNNNNNNNNNNNNNNNNNNNNNNNNNNNNNNNNNNNNNNNNNNNNNNNNNNNNNNNNNNNNNNNNNNNNNNNNNNNNNNNNNNNNNNNNNNNNNNNNNNNNNNNNNNNNNNNNNNNNNNNNNNNNNNNNNNNNNNNNNNNNNNNNNNNNNNNNNNNNNNNNNNNNNNNNNNNNNNNNNNNNNNNNNNNNNNNNNNNNNNNNNNNNNNNNNNNNNNNNNNNNNNNNNNNNNNNNNNNNNNNNNNNNNNNNNNNNNCCUUUUGGGUAGGGGUAAGGCUGUCUACAUAUUACCUUCCCCAGACCCCACCUGGUGGGAGUAUACUGGGUAGUUGUUGUUGUUGUUGUUGUUUCUUCUGGUGUGCGGAGGGGGUUGGGUGGAGCGCUUAAGAUGUCUUUGAGGAAACUUUCUAAUCCACUUUGCUGAUUAUCAUGCAGCUUUAUUCAUGCAUCCGUCUUUUUCGAUAAGCGAAGAUUAAGUAAUCAAUUGAGCAUGAUUUCAAAGAACAACCAUUCUCCACAAUUGACUCCAACUCUGAUAUUGACGCAUAAACUCUUCUGCUUCAGAAUAAUAACGGCUAGCUAAAAGUGAGUCUAUUACAAGCUAGCCCAUGACACAACUUGUGAUAAAUAGAGUGCAUAUUCACCAUUUAUUCUCGACUUCAUUGUACAAGUUGCUUCUCUAAGCUAGUAGCUUAUCGAAAGGCUUUUUUAAAUAAUCAGAGGAAUAUAGUAAUCAUUAUAAAAAUGCUUAAGCUGUAUAAACCAAACACUAAAACAACUAACUAAAGCCUAAUGCGCAAUAACAUUACUUCAAGAAAAGGAAAAGGAACUACAACUUUUUUUAUCAAGGAAAAAGGACUACAACUUGUAUGAAACUCUUCCCAUGUGGUAUGUUGAAAAAUGUUUGACACCAUUCUAAACAUGCUUCACAAUUUUCAAGAGUUCAGACUCAUCUAACUAUUCAAAAUACAAUUUUGAUGUGAUAAAUUCUCUAUGAAACUUGCAAUCAUCAAUUUAGUAUUUUGUUCCACUACGACUAACAUACUACAUAUGUCGAAUUAACUUUUCAACCUUCACUGUCAAUCAAACAAAACACCUUUUAUUUCAGAAGAAGCAGUUCUACACUCAGAUACAGCAUUAGCAGAAAUGUGCCACACACCAAAUAAGAUUAUCCUCAGACCCAAUUUAUAAGACCCUCUUUCCAUUUUGGAAUGUCCCAAAAUAUGUGACACCAUUUGAUUAGCUGUAUACAAACUCCACCACAUUCAAGAAUUCAAAAUUCAUUUAACUAUUCAAAUUUUAUAGUUUGAUAAAAUAUAUUUUCUUUAACAAACUAACUUCAACCAUUGUCCUAGUAUUUUUUCCACUAAGAUUAGUAUAAUACAAAAGUCAAAUAAACAUAUUUUACAAAGAGAUAGUACUACCUCUUUUUAUGAAGUCAAAUUAACAUCUUAAGCUUCAUGACACUUCAAUAUAGAAGAGACAACUUUUAUAUGGAUGGAUAGUAUUUAAUUAGAACAGACAAAGAUUAAUAAGCAGUUUUGCAAUCAUAUACAAAGUAAUAGCAGAAAUUUACUAAACGCCAAAUAAGAUUAGUAUAUAUCAUAUGGUCAUACUAAGUAUUGCUCUUAAAAACUAUUUCAGAGAGAAGAAAUAUUAGAAGCAAUAUCCUUCAGAUUUGGACCAUUCACUUAGUUCCUCAGUGAAACGUUUGACUCCAUUGUGCGAACACUGAUCUCCAAU